UUCUCCUCGCCGGCGGUACUAUCUUGUCUUCUCUUCUCCCUCACCGGCGGCACCAUCUUGCCUUCUUUUCUCCUCGCUUCCUUCUUUUCUCCUCGCCGGUGGUACCGUCUUACCUUCUCUUAUCCUCACCGACGGUACCAUCAAAAUUUUCUUUAAUCGGCGACACAAUGAUAGAAAAAUAAAACAGAAUGCCUCCUUUUUCUCUACUUCAACGCCCUUGUUCCCGCAGUUGUUGAACGGUUAGGUGACGCCAAACAGCCUGUUAGAGACGCCGCCAGACGCCUACUGCUCACUCUCAUGGAGGUUUCUUCUCCAACAAUUAUUGUCGAAAGAGCUGGCUCUUAUGCUUGGAUAUAUAGAAGUUGGAGAGUUCGAGAGGAAUUUGCGCGAACGGUUACAUCAUCAAUCAGUCUUUUUGCAUCUACUGAACUUCCAAUUCAACGGGCAA
This is a long non-coding RNA of Hibiscus syriacus, 448 nucleotides long. RefSeq lists it as uncharacterized. The transcript is spliced from 3 exons. The record is from RefSeq and is a predicted model, not a curated record. NCBI's taxonomy places the organism in Eukaryota, Viridiplantae, Streptophyta, Magnoliopsida, Malvales, Malvaceae.